UUAGGAUUUACUUGGGAUUUGGUUUAGGACUCAAGAUUUGGUUUAGAUUUAGGAUUUGAUUUAAGAUUAUGAUUUGAUUAGGAUUUGAUUAAGAUUUGGUUUAAAUUUAGGAUUUGAUUUAGGAUUAGGGUUUUAUUAGGGUUUGAUUAGGGUUUGAUUUAGAAUUUAUUUAAGAUUUGAUUUAGAAUUUAGUGUAGAGUUUAAGGUUUUGUUUAGGAUUUGGUUAGGGUUUAGGAUUUGAUUUAAGGUUUAUGGUUUGGUUUAGGGUUUAGGAUUUGAUUAGGAUUUGGUUUAGGAUUUAGGAUUUGAUUUAGGAUUUAGGAUUUUAUUAGGAUUUAUUUAAGGUUUAAGAUUUAGUUAGUUUUUGGCCUAAAGUUUGAAUGAAGUCGAAUAGGAUUUUAACUAGGAUUAAAUUAAGAUUGAAUUGAGAUAUAUUUGAGAUAUAUUUGUGAUCAUUCUAAU
This 462-nucleotide long non-coding RNA is filed under the name Physcomitrium patens. RNAcentral's name for it is "long non-coding RNA (PPAT_LNC005494)". Lineage: Eukaryota; Viridiplantae; Streptophyta; Bryopsida; Funariales; Funariaceae. The record is from RNAcentral.